AUGGAGAGAUGGUGCAAGUACAUCCACGCCAAGGACCGCACAGACCGGAUCCGCAUAUGCGCCAUCCUCUGCCGCAUCUACCACCAUGCUCUGCGCUCCCGCUGGUACCAGGCCCGCGACCUCAUGCUCAUGAGCCACCUGCAGGGCAACAUUCAGCACGCGGACCCGCCACUGUGGAACCUUCACAACCGCACAACGGUGCAGCUGGGCACCUGUGCCCUCCGCCAAGGCCUCACCAAGGACGCGCACAACGCCCUGCUGGAUAUCCAGUCCAGCGGCCGGGCCAAGGAGCUUCCGGGCCAGGCCCUGCUGCUGUGCAGCCUGCAGGAGCGCAACCAGGAGCAGGAGAAGGUGGAGCGGCGCUGGCAGGUCCCCCUUCCACCUGCACAUCAACCUGCAGCUGCUGGGGUGUGUCUACCUGGUGUCUGCCAUGCUCCUGCAGAUCCCCUACAUGGCCGCACAUGAGAGCGAUGCCCACUGACGCAUGAUCAGCAAGCAGUUCCACCACCAGCUACGCGUGGGCGAGUGGCAGCCCCUGCUGGGUCCCCCUGAGUCCAUAAGGGAACCUGUGGUUGCUGCCUCUAAGGCCAUGAAGAUGGGUGACUGGAAGACCUGCCAGUUUCAUCAUCAAUGAGAAGAUGAAUAAGAAAGUGUGGGACCUUUUCCCCAAGGCUGACAAAGUGCGCACCAUGCUGGUUAGGAAGAUCCUGGAAGAGUCACCGAGGACCCACCUCUUCACCUACAGCAGUGUCUACGACUCCGUCAGCACGGAGACGCUGUCACACAUGUUCGAGCUGGAUCUGCCCACGGUGCACUCCAUCGUCAGCAAGAUGAUCAUUAAUGAGGAGCUAAUGGCCUCUCUGGACCAGCCGAUGCCGACAGUGGCGACGCGCCGCACAGAGCCCACUGCCCAGCAGAACCUGGCUCUGCAGCCGGCUGAGAAGCUGGGACGCCUGGUGGAGAACAACGAGCGGGUGUUUGACCACAAGCAGGGCACCUACGGCGGCUACUUCCGAGACCAGAAGGACGGCUACCGCAAAAACGAGGGCUACAUGCGCCGCGGCGGCUACCGCCAGCACCAGUCCCAACGGCCUGCUGAGCUCCCCACUGUCUCUGCGCCUAGACCAUCCAACCUUGAAGUCCUAAACCACACCCCAGUUAUUAAAGGUCUAUUUAAAGUCGGGAAAAAAAAAAAAAAGAGAGGACAGUCUUGUGAGACUCAGCCACUCAGCUGCAGAAGUAAUAUUCUCUCCAGGGAAGCAGUGUCAACACUGCGCUAA
This is a non-coding RNA of Callithrix jacchus (white-tufted-ear marmoset), 1280 nucleotides long. Lineage: Eukaryota; Metazoa; Chordata; Mammalia; Primates; Cebidae. The record is from RefSeq and is a predicted model, not a curated record.